RNAcentral lists this transfer RNA (79 nucleotides) under Capnocytophaga sputigena ATCC 33612. RNAcentral describes it as "tRNA-Arg". It matches the Rfam family "tRNA". Rfam says of the family: Transfer RNA (tRNA) molecules are approximately 80 nucleotides in length. The record is from RNAcentral. Lineage: Bacteria; Pseudomonadati; Bacteroidota; Flavobacteriia; Flavobacteriales; Flavobacteriaceae.
UGGCCUCGUGGCGCAACUGAAUAGCGCAUCUGAUUACGGCUCAGAAGGUUACAGGUUUGAAUCCUGUCGAGGUCACUAA